AUUGAACGCUGGCGGCAUGCCUUACACAUGCAAGUCGAACGGCAGCAUGGAGAGCUUGCUCUCUGAUGGCGAGUGGCGAACGGGUGAGUAAAGCAUCGGAACGUACCGUGUAGUGGGGGAUAACGUAGCGAAAGUUACGCUAAUACCGCAUACGCACUGAGGUGGAAAGCAGGGGACCGUAAGACCUUGCGCUAUACGAGCGGCCGAUGUCAGAUUAGCUAGUUGGUAGGGUAAAGGCCUACCAAGGCGACGAUCUGUAGCGGGUCUGAGAGGAUGAGCCGCCACACUGGGAAUGAGACACGGCCCAGACUCCUACGGGGGGCAGCAGUGGGGAAUUUUGGACAAUGGGGGCAACGCUGAUCCAGCCAUGCCGCGUGAGUGAAGAAGGCCUUCGGGUUGUAAAGCUCUUUCGGCCGGGAAGAAAUCGCACAGGCUAAUACCCUGUGUGGAUGACGGUACCGGCAUAAGAAGCACCGGCUAACUACGUGCCAGCAGCCGCCGUAA
RNAcentral lists this ribosomal RNA (504 nucleotides) under uncultured bacterium. Its description in RNAcentral is "partial 16S ribosomal RNA". It matches the Rfam family "Bacterial small subunit ribosomal RNA", at positions 29 to 523 of the family's 1533-position model. The record is from RNAcentral.